This 71-nucleotide transfer RNA is filed under the name Candidatus Lindowbacteria bacterium RIFCSPLOWO2_02_FULL_62_12. RNAcentral describes it as "tRNA-Thr". It matches the Rfam family "tRNA". Rfam says of the family: Transfer RNA (tRNA) molecules are approximately 80 nucleotides in length. Their secondary structure includes four short double-helical elements and three loops (D, anti-codon, and T loops). Further hydrogen bonds mediate the characteristic L-shaped molecular structure. tRNAs have two regions of fundamental functional importance: the anti-codon, which is responsible for specific mRNA codon recognition, and the 3' end, to which the tRNAs corresponding amino acid is attached (by aminoacyl-tRNA synthetases). tRNAs cope with the degeneracy of the genetic code in two manners: having more than one tRNA (with a specific anti-codon) for a particular amino acid; and 'wobble' base-pairing, i.e. permitting non-standard base-pairing at the 3rd anti-codon position. The record is from RNAcentral. Lineage: Bacteria; Candidatus Lindowiibacteriota. RNAcentral also lists the same sequence under 1 other name.
GCCCGAUUAGGUCAGUGGCAGACCAACCGUCUUGUAAGCGGUGAACGUCGGCUCGAUUCCGACAUCGGGCU